CUCGUAGACUCCUACGGGAGGCAGCAGUGGGGAAUAUUGCACAAUGGGGGAAACCCUGAUGCAGCCAUGCCGCGUGUGUGAAGAAGGCCUUCGGGUUGUAAAGCACUUUCAGUCGUGAGGAAGGUAGUGUAGUUAAUAGCUGCAUUAUUUGACGUUAGCGACAGAAGAAGCACCGGCUAACUCCGUGCCAGCAGCCGCGGUAAUACGGAGGGUGCGAGCGUUAAUCGGAAUUACUGGGCGUAAAGCGCAUGCAGGUGGUUUGUUAAGUCAGAUGUGAAAGCCCCGGGGCUCAACCUCGGAAUAGCAUUUGAAACUGGCAGACUAGAGUACUGUAGAGGGGGUAGAAUUUCAGGUGUAGCGGUGAAAUGCGUAGAGAUCUGAAGGAAUACCGGUGGCGAAGGCGGCCCCCUGGACAGAUACUGACACUCAGAUGCGAAAGCGUGGGGAGCAAACAGGAUUAGAUACCCUGGUAG
Molecule: ribosomal RNA, 473 nt
Filed under: uncultured bacterium
Lineage: Bacteria
Description: bacterial SSU rRNA
Rfam family: Bacterial small subunit ribosomal RNA
Source: RNAcentral